CAUGCAAGUCGAGCGGAGAGAGGUAGCUUGCUACUGAUCUUAGCGGCGGACGGGUGAGUAAUACUUAGGAAUCUGGCUAUUAGUGGGGGACAACAUUUCGAAAGGGAUGCUAAUACCGCAUACGUCCUACGGGAGAAAGCAGGGGAUCUUCGGACCUUGCGCUAAUAGAUGAGCCUAAGUCGGAUUAGCUAGUUGGUGGGGUAAAGGCCUACCAAGGCGACGAUCUGUAGCGGGUCUGAGAGGAUGAUCCGCCACACUGGGACUGAGACACGGCCCAGACUCCUACGGGAGGCAGCAGUGGGGAAUAUUGGACAAUGGGGGGAACCCUGAUCCAGCCAUGCCGCGUGUGUGAAGAAGGCCUUAUGGUUGUAAAGCACUUUAAGCGAGGAGGAGGGUACUGGUAUUAAUACUACCAGGUACUGGACGUUACUCGCAGAAUAAGCACCGGCUAA
Molecule: ribosomal RNA, 452 nt
Filed under: Acinetobacter ursingii
Lineage: Bacteria; Pseudomonadati; Pseudomonadota; Gammaproteobacteria; Moraxellales; Moraxellaceae
Description: bacterial SSU rRNA
Rfam family: Bacterial small subunit ribosomal RNA
Source: RNAcentral